UGGGGAAUAUUGGACAAUGGGGGCAACCCUGAUCCAGCAAUGCCGCGUGAGUGAUGAAGGCCUUAGGGUUGUAAAGCUCUUUCGCCCGCGACGAUGAUGACGGUAGCGGGAGAAGAAGCCCCGGCUAACUUCGUGCCAGCAGCCGCGGUAAUACGAAGGGGGCGAGCGUUGUUCGGAUUUACUGGGCGUAAAGGGCGCGUAGGCGGCCCUCUUUGUCGCGUGUGAAAGCCCCGGGCUCAACCUGGGAAUUGCGCGCGAAACGGGGGGGCUUGAGUUCGGGAGAGGAGCGUGGAAUUCCCAGUGUAGAGGUGAAAUUCGUAGAUAUUGGGAAGAACACCGGUGGCGAAGGCGGCGCUCUGGACCGAGACUGACGCUGAGGCGCGAAAGCGUGGGGAGCAAAC
This 401-nucleotide ribosomal RNA is filed under the name uncultured bacterium. RNAcentral's name for it is "bacterial SSU rRNA". It matches the Rfam family "Bacterial small subunit ribosomal RNA", at positions 355 to 773 of the family's 1533-position model. The record is from RNAcentral.